GCCCCGGUAGCUCAGUGGUAGAGCGAACGCCUUGUAAGCGUUAGGUCGCGAGUUCAAUCCUCGCCCGGGGCU
This 72-nucleotide transfer RNA is filed under the name Microcaldota archaeon. Its description in RNAcentral is "Candidatus Micrarchaeota archaeon (hot springs metagenome) tRNA-Thr". It matches the Rfam family "tRNA". From Rfam's summary of the family: Transfer RNA (tRNA) molecules are approximately 80 nucleotides in length. Their secondary structure includes four short double-helical elements and three loops (D, anti-codon, and T loops). The record is from RNAcentral. Lineage: Archaea; Nanobdellati; Microcaldota.